AUUGAACGCUGGCGGCAUGCUUUACACAUGCAAGUCGAACGGUAACAGGCCUUCGGGUGCUGACGAGUGGCGAACGGGUGAGUAAUGCAUCGGAACGUGCCCAGAGGUGGGGGAUAACGCAGCGAAAGCUGUGCUAAUACCGCAUGUGAUCUGAGGAUGAAAGCGGGGGACCAGGCAGCAAUGUUUGGCCUCGCGCCUUUGGAGCGGCCGAUGUCAGAUUAGGUAGUUGGUGGGGUAAAGGCCUACCAAGCCGACGAUCUGUAGCUGGUCUGAGAGGACGACCAGCCACACUGGGACUGAGACACGGCCCAGACUCCUACGGGAGGCAGCAGUGGGGAAUUUUGGACAAAGGGCGCAAGCCUGAUCCAGCAAUGCCGCGUGCGGGAAGAAGGCCUUCGGGUCGUAAACCGCUUUUGUACGGAACGAAAAGGCUCUGGCUAAUACCUGGGGCUGAUGACGGUACCGUAAGAAUAAGCACCGGCUAACUACGUG
RNAcentral lists this ribosomal RNA (492 nucleotides) under uncultured bacterium. RNAcentral describes it as "partial 16S ribosomal RNA". It matches the Rfam family "Bacterial small subunit ribosomal RNA", at positions 29 to 507 of the family's 1533-position model. The record is from RNAcentral.